This 425-nucleotide ribosomal RNA is filed under the name uncultured bacterium. RNAcentral describes it as "partial 16S ribosomal RNA". It matches the Rfam family "Bacterial small subunit ribosomal RNA", at positions 354 to 796 of the family's 1533-position model. The record is from RNAcentral.
GUGGGGAAUCUUGCGCAAUGGGCGAAAGCCUGACGCAGCCAUGCCGCGUGAAUGAUGAAGGUCUUAGGAUUGUAAAAUUCUUUCACCGGGGACGAUAAUGACGGUACCCGGAGAAGAAGCUCCGGCUAACUUCGUGCCAGCAGCAGCGGUAAUACGAAGGGGGCUAGCGUUGCUCGGAAUUACUGGGCGUAAAGGGCGCGUAGGCGGACAGCUUAGUCAGAGGUGAAAGCCCAGGGCUCAAACUUGGAAUUGCCUUUGAUACUGGCUGUCUUGAGUUUGGGAGAGGUGAGUGGAACUCCGAGUGUAGAGGUGAAAUUCGUAGAUAUUCGGAAGAACACCAGUGGCGAAGGCGACUCACUGGCCCAAUACUGACGCUGAGGCGCGAAAGCGUGGGGAGCAAACAGGAUUAGAAACCCCUGUAGUCC